Long non-coding RNA from Panicum virgatum (switchgrass), 598 nucleotides. RefSeq lists it as uncharacterized. NCBI's taxonomy places the organism in Eukaryota, Viridiplantae, Streptophyta, Magnoliopsida, Poales, Poaceae. The record is from RefSeq and is a predicted model, not a curated record. The transcript is spliced from 2 exons.
CGCGCUCGCCGAUCCUAAUUGGCGCGCGGCUAUGGAAGAGGAACAUGCUGCCCUUUUGAAGAACCACACUUGAGAUCUCGUUCCGCGCCCCCCUCGGGCCAAUGUGGUUACUGGCAAAUGGGUCUUCAAGCACAAGUUCAACGCUGAUGGGUCACUCGAGAGGUACAAGGCUCGUUGGGUACUUCGUGGUUUCACCCAGCGGCCGGGUGUGGAUUACUCAGAGAUGUUUAGCCCCGUCGUGAAGCCUGCUACUGUCCGCACUGUUUCAUAAUUUUCUGGUUCUGUCAAAUGUUCAAGAUUUGUGUGUUGCCUUUCAUAUCAUUCAAGGGCCGGAGGUUUGUAUAAACACCGGUUGUGCAAUUUGGUUCUUAUGUUCAGGUUCCUGUGAAUAAGUGCUGGCCCCACUUAUUCGGCUUUACCGGUAAAUGCAAGGGAAGUUUCAGGUACUCGCUGAUCAAGCUUGCAUGGGAUGGGAGUAGCCACUUCAUGAUGAGCAUGCACGUAUUGUUGCGAUUCAUUAAACAAAUCUCUAGGCUGAAUAAUUCUUUUGACAUUGAGAACUGUCAUGUGGUCAUUUGGAUGUCAUUUACGUUCGUUC